Molecule: long non-coding RNA, 2737 nt
Filed under: Homo sapiens (human)
Lineage: Eukaryota; Metazoa; Chordata; Mammalia; Primates; Hominidae
Description: HSALNT0102761
Source: RNAcentral
GCUGGACCAGGUGUGGUUUCCAGGGAGAAGGGAGGUUCAUAGGCUGGUGUUUGGCAUAUAGCAGAUGCUCUGUAAAUAUUUGCUAACAUUUAAUGAAGAGAGCACUGCCCACCUCUUAGAGAGUGUCAAAGAGAUGGCAGCAGCACUGAUGAGAAGGUGAAAGGGAACUCCUGGAUGUUUCCAAAACCUAACCUAUGCAGCAUCUGCUAAUGGAAAAUCCAUUUGCUCACCAAGGAGGCUUUAGAAGAAGACCUUCUCCAAAAAGUGCACCCUGACUCAGGCCAGGAAACGCCAAGAGUCUGAAUAAGAAGAGCAGGCUCCUCAGGUCCCCCAAUGCCAUCCUGGGAAAAGCCUCCUGGGCCCUCUCUUGGAAGACAAAGUCCUGUAACCAUUCACCGUGGUGAAGGAAAGCCAUCUCUCUCCCUGUGUCUCAACAGGGGCUGAAGGCACACAUAGCUGAGCCCACUUCACACUCCCUCCCCACCAGCCAUGAAGAUGAUGCCUGGCAAUGAAGUUUGAGAUCCAGUUCCAAUUUUGGAAUCAUUUUCUCCUCAUAGGUAUUGACAAUUUUUAUACAUUUCCAAGACCCAUUGAAGAUAAUCCUCAGGGGUACAUAUGGUACAGGAGGAUAGGAAACAGCUUGGAAGACAACAGAAAGGAAUAUGUAUCCACAAGAAGAGCCUUUUCCAGUUCGUUUGCAAAAAAGUACUCCUGUUCUGCCCUGCUGGGCCUGGGGUGGCAGCUCUUAGAAUCGGUUUCUAACCUUGCUUGGACCAUCAUCUUUUUGGUAGUCUGAUGAAGUCUCAGGAUCCCUUCUCAUCAUAAAUAUUUUAUACUAAUAAAGUAGAAUACAGGGUAUUACACAGGAAACUAAUAAUAUUGAAAAUACAAUUAUUAGAAUAUUUUAAAACAAACUUUGAUUUAGAAGUUAAUGCACUGCUUUAUUAAUUCUUUACAUAACACAAUGUAUCAGAGGGUCUUAUAAGUACUGUAAUUUUGAAGUAGUGGUGAGUGGGAUAAUGUAUCACAAUAUCUGCAGUGGUUGGAAACUGAUCUAAAAAUGUUUAUGAUUUCCAUUUUCCCAGGCACUGUUAAUACUAUUAUAGUUUGCUGCACAUAUUCAUAACUGAAAGAAAUGCUAAAUUGCAAAGGAGGCUAAUGAAAAUAAAGAAAUCAUUUUUUCUUUCACAAUUCAAGCUCACAGACAGAUGCCCAGCAUUCUCCCCAGCCCAUGGUAUGCAGGAUACGCACCCUGUCUAGAGCUUUGAAAAUUAGUAGCAGGUAGAGGAGCUGGUCUCCUCUGCUGAGUGUACCUGAGCCACAGUAGUGCUGGCUUCAGCUGGGAAGUGCCCAUCUGGAGCCCAGUGGUUUAGGCCAGCAAAUCAUAUUCUUAUUUGCAAGUGGUCCUCCCUUCCCUCACACCUAGUCAUUGUAGGCAAUGAAGGCUCCAACAGGGUGCCUGGGAUAGAGUAAGAGCAAACUAGCUCAGUGACCUUUGGGCAAAGUCUGUCUCUGUUCUGUAGAAAUGUAAAGGCAUGGGGGUUCUGGUCCUCUAUCUCCAGUGAGAGUUGAGUCUUAUGAGCCCUGGAGAUCUCUCCAAGUGUCAUAAAAUUGAAUUAUCUCAUUUCUAGGCAUGGAGUAUGGUCACCCCACACUCAUGAAUUAUCUGAUACCCAUGGGUCACCCUAAUGAUACUGCAUAGAGACAGAGCUAAAGCAAAAGACGAGGGAGACAUCACUGCAAAGGUGGGAAUUGUAGCCUUAGAAGGGAAUAAGUUCACCUGGGGAAAUGAGAAGGUGCAUCAUGAGCCAGACCCGAAAUGACUUGAUCACAGAGAGGACAGGCUUCAGUGAGGGCUGGUCAGGCCAAAGGGUCAAAUGUCUACUUGAAUUCUUUGCUCUCAGUAUGUGGGAAGCAGCCUGCCUUUUCUCCCCCUCCUCUGAGGACCUGAGGGAAAAGCAUGGGAGACCUGUUGACGCUUUGGGAACAGUCUAGGAAUGUCCCCAAGAUGAGCUUCUGCCUGCAUUGACACCUCCCAUUCCACAGGACCUAGACCUAGGGCCCUUCUUCCAUGUCCUUACUGCCAUGGGUAAGGACACUCCUGCAUGGAAGAAUCCCUGUGCAGUUCAUGUCUGAAUUCUCUGCAGGGAUUCAAUGUCUAGAAGCUCAAGCACAUCUUCCCAGCAGUGGUUUUUCUGCAUCCAGGCCCCUCUGAUCACAUUGUAGGCAACCUGAAGUGGCCUCUACCCUGACAAUGCUUCUGUCUUUGAGAUAAUUCUUUUCUUCACACCUCCAGAAACUACGGUUAAGUGUCUGCUCUUACUGUCAGAAGAGACCUCAUGAUCACUGUAUGUCACGGGAGGUGCAAAAUUGUGCCUAAUCCUCAAAGCAGUGGUGUGGAUGCACGAAACAGGCCCCAGUGUAAGCUGUGUGUACACAGUGUAAGUGAUGGCUUCACUUUGAGUUAAACCUAAUACAAACUGUAAUUGGAAAGUAUAAAUGGAUUACCCUGGUCUUAUUCAAAUGUGCCACCACCCAAUAACAGCAAGGACAGUCCCCUUGGAGAAAACACAUUUUGUUUCUACUGAUUUCAAGAAAUCUCUGACUAGGGAGAGUUUCUAAUUCAUGAGAUAGAUUUUCAAGUGUGACUAAGAGACUUAAUCUCUAUUAAGUUGCCCUAAAAAGGAAAAGAAGCUAUACAUUUAAGUUGUGAUUAUGAAAUAACAUACAAUCUGAC